RNAcentral lists this ribosomal RNA (420 nucleotides) under uncultured bacterium. RNAcentral's name for it is "bacterial SSU rRNA". It matches the Rfam family "Bacterial small subunit ribosomal RNA", at positions 356 to 773 of the family's 1533-position model. The record is from RNAcentral.
AAGGAAUAUUGGUCAAUGGACGAAAGUCUGAACCAGCCAUGCCGCGUGGAGGAUGAAGGUCCUCUGGAUUGUAAACUUCUUUUAUAUGGGACGAAAAAAGGGUUUUCUAACUCGUCUGACGGUACCAUAUGAAUAAGCACCGGCUAACUCCGUGCCAGCAGCCGCGGUAAUACGGAGGGUGCAAGCGUUAUCCGGAUUCACUGGGUUUAAAGGGUGCGUAGGUGGGUUGGUAAGUCAGUGGUGAAAUCCCCGAGCUUAACUUGGGAACUGCCAUUGAUACUAUCAGUCUUGAAUACCGUGGAGGUCAGCGGAAUAUGUCAUGUAGCGGUGAAAUGCUUAGAUAUGACAUAGAACACCAAUUGCGAAGGCAGCUGGCUACACGAAUAUUGACACUGAGGCACGAAAGCGUGGGGAUCAAAC